Suricata suricatta (meerkat) is the source of this 401-nucleotide long non-coding RNA. RefSeq lists it as uncharacterized. The transcript is spliced from 2 exons. The record is from RefSeq and is a predicted model, not a curated record. Lineage: Eukaryota; Metazoa; Chordata; Mammalia; Carnivora; Herpestidae.
CUUGGGCAGCCCUAAGGGGAGGCCCACGUGGGGAGGGAUCAGGGCCUCUCAUGAACAGUCAGGACUGAUCUGUUGUCCAAGUGAGUAAAUCCCAUUGGAAGUGGAUCUUCAGGCCCAUUCAAGUCCUUGGACAACAGCUGAUUCUUGACUGCAAUUUCUUGAGAGACUCAAACCAAAACCAUUUGGAUAAGUUAAUCGUGAAUUCUUAACUCACAGAAACUAUGAGAGGUUGGAAAGAAACUGAUGAAAAAGGCCAAACCUGAUGGACUGAGAACUACAGGCCAGGCACUCACCUCUGGCAAGCUUUCCUCUCAGUCAACCGUCAGCACCUCGGACAGCUCAGCUACAAUGCCUUGGGUCUCUGAGGAAACCUAUCUAAACACAAAGGCAUUUUUACAUUA